Molecule: ribosomal RNA, 2772 nt
Filed under: human gut metagenome
Description: bacterial LSU rRNA
Rfam family: Bacterial large subunit ribosomal RNA
Source: RNAcentral
AGCGUACACGGUGGAUGCCCUGGCAGUCAGAGGCGAUGAAGGACGUGCUAAUCUGCGAAAAGCGUCGGUAAGGUGAUAUGAACCGUUAUAACCGGCGAUGUCCGAAUGGGGAAACCCAGUGCAAUUCGUUGCACUAUCGUUAACUGAAUACAUAGGUUAACGAGGCGAACCGGGGGAACUGAAACAUCUAAGUACCCCGAGGAAAAGAAAUCAACCGAGAUUCCCCCAGUAGCGGCGAGCGAACGGGGAGCAGCCCAGAGUCUGAAUCAGCUUGUGUGUUAGUGGAACGGUCUGGAAAGUCCGACGGUACAGGGUGAUAGUCCCGUACACCAAAAUGCACAGGCUGUGAACUCGAAGAGUAGGGCGGGACACGUGGUAUCCUGUCUGAAUAUGGGGGGACCAUCCUCCAAGGCUAAAUACUCCUGACUGACCGAUAGUGAACCAGUACCGUGAGGGAAAGGCGAAAAGAACCCCGGCGAGGGGAGUGAAAAAGAACCUGAAACCGUGUACGUACAAGCAGUAGGAGCCCACUUGUUGGGUGACUGCGUACCUUUUGUAUAAUGGGUCAGCGACUUAUAUUCUGUAGCAAGGUUAACCGUAUAGGGGAGCCGCAGGGAAACCGAGUCUUAACUGGGCGUUAAGUUGCAGGGUAUAGACCCGAAACCCGGUGAUCUAGCCAUGGGCAGGUUGAAGGUUGGGUAACACUAACUGGAGGACCGAACCGACUAAUGUUGAAAAAUUAGCGGAUGACUUGUGGCUGGGGGUGAAAGGCCAAUCAAACCGGGAGAUAGCUGGUUCUCCCCGAAAGCUAUUUAGGUAGCGCCUCGUGAACUCAUCUUCGGGGGUAGAGCACUGUUUCGGCUAGGGGGUCAUCCCGACUUACCAACCCGAUGCAAACUACGAAUACCGAAGAAUGUUAUCACGGGAGACACACGGCGGGUGCUAACGUCCGUCGUGAAGAGGGAAACAACCCAGACCGCCAGCUAAGGUCCCAAAGUCAUGGUUAAGUGGGAAACGAUGUGGGAAGGCACAGACAGCCAGGAUGUUGGCUUAGAAGCAGCCAUCAUUUAAAGAAAGCGUAAUAGCUCACUGGUCGAGUCGGCCUGCGCGGAAGAUGUAACGGGGCUAAACCAUGCACCGAAGCUGCGGCAGCGACACUAUGUGUUGUUGGGUAGGGGAGCGUUCUGUAAGCCUGCGAAGGUGACCUGUGAGGGUUGCUGGAGGUAUCAGAAGUGCGAAUGCUGACAUAAGUAACGAUAAAGCGGGUGAAAAGCCCGCUCGCCGGAAGACCAAGGGUUCCUGUCCAACGUUAAUCGGGGCAGGGUGAGUCGACCCCUAAGGCGAGGCCGAAAGGCGUAGUCGAUGGGAAACAGGUUAAUAUUCCUGUACUUGGUGUUACUGCGAAGGGGGGACGGAGAAGGCUAUGUUAGCCGGGCGACGGUUGUCCCGGUUUAAGCAUGUAGGCUGGUUAUCCAGGCAAAUCCGGAUAAUCAAGGCUGAGGUGUGAUGACGAGGCACUACGGUGCUGAAGUAACAAAUGCCCUGCUUCCAGGAAAAGCCUCUAAGCAUCAGGUAACAUCAAAUCGUACCCCAAACCGACACAGGUGGUCAGGUAGAGAAUACCAAGGCGCUUGAGAGAACUCGGGUGAAGGAACUAGGCAAAAUGGUGCCGUAACUUCGGGAGAAGGCACGCUGGUGUGUAGGUGAAGUCCCUGCGGAUGGAGCUGAGACCAGUCGAAGAUACCAGCUGGCUGCAACUGUUUAUUAAAAACACAGCACUGUGCAAACACGAAAGUGGACGUAUACGGUGUGACGCCUGCCCGGUGCCGGAAGGUUAAUUGAUGGGGUUAUCCGUAAGGAGAAGCUCUUGAUCGAAGCCCCGGUAAACGGCGGCCGUAACUAUAACGGUCCUAAGGUAGCGAAAUUCCUUGUCGGGUAAGUUCCGACCUGCACGAAUGGCGUAAUGAUGGCCAGGCUGUCUCCACCCGAGACUCAGUGAAAUUGAACUCGCUGUGAAGAUGCAGUGUACCCGCGGCAAGACGGAAAGACCCCGUGAACCUUUACUAUAGCUUGACACUGAACAUUGAGCCUUGAUGUGUAGGAUAGGUGGGAGGCUUUGAAGCGUGGACGCCAGUCUGCGUGGAGCCAACCUUGAAAUACCACCCUUUAAUGUUUGAUGUUCUAACGUUGGCCCCUGACCGGGGUUGCGGACAGUGUCUGGUGGGUAGUUUGACUGGGGCGGUCUCCUCCCAAAGCGUAACGGAGGAGCACGAAGGUUAGCUAAUCCUGGUCGGACAUCAGGAGGUUAGUGCAAUGGCAUAAGCUAGCUUGACUGCGAGCGUGACGGCGCGAGCAGGUGCGAAAGCAGGUCAUAGUGAUCCGGUGGUUCUGAAUGGAAGGGCCAUCGCUCAACGGAUAAAAGGUACUCCGGGGAUAACAGGCUGAUACCGCCCAAGAGUUCAUAUCGACGGCGGGGUUUGGCACCUCGAUGUCGGCUCAUCACAUCCUGGGGCUGAAGUAGGUCCCAAGGGUAUGGCUGUUCGCCAUUUAAAGUGGUACGCGAGCUGGGUUUAGAACGUCGUGAGACAGUUCGGUCCCUAUCUGCCGUGGGCGCUGGAGAAUUGAGGGGGGCUGCUCCUAGUACGAGAGGACCGGAGUGGACGCAUCACUGGUGUUCGGGUUGUCAUGCCAAUGGCACUGCCCGGUAGCUAAAUGCGGAAGAGAUAAGUGCUGAAAGCAUCUAAGCACGAAACUUGCCCCGAGAUGAGUUCU